UCCUCGAUCCCAUCUUGACCUCCAUCCCGCUGUCUCCUGCCCCGUGCCGUCCGCCCGACACCACAUCAAACGGGAGCGCGUCACUCCCUAGACGGCGGCGAUGAUGGAGGGCGCCGCCCAGCUCCUGACCGGCGGAUUCGUCGGCUCCUCGCUCCUUGGGGCCAGCCCCUCCCCGUUGCCGGAUCGCGCAUCGGCUUGGAGGCCCCUUGGGGAUGCCGCCGGUGCGGGAGUCCUGUGCGGCCGUGCGGGCUGGGAACCGAGCGGUGACGUUUAACAGGGAGCUAGAGCGGCCUCACCCACCCACAUCAGCGGCGCAGAAAAACAAGAUUCCGACGAAGAAGCGGCGACCGGCGAGAGAGCGAUCGAGGAAGGAUGCCAUCUGCGGCGCCGGCGGUCCUGCUGGUUGCGGCCGUGUGGGUGCUCCUGUCGGCCGGCCGUGCUGGCUGACGGCAACGGCACGACGUGCCUGUGCAUGGGCACGCGGUGUGUGCCGCCCUGCCCUGUCCCGGGGACGCCGCUACCGACGACGUCGCCCACGCAGUUCCCCUUCUGCCCGCAGCGGCUGCAGGCGACCGGGCCCUUCCCGUGGGAGCAGCAGCCGCCGGCGGCGACGAGGACGGGGUUCCCUCAGGACACAGGGUUCCUUGCGGCGGCAGUGGCGAGCCCGGUAGGACGACGGCUGUGACGGUGGCCGCCGCUUGCUCUGCUUUCUUGCUGCUCGCCCACCUCUAUAGACCAGUAGAUUCAGAGAUAAUGCGGGGGUCCUCCUUGCUUAAGCACCAGCAUGGUGGGGACUUUCAGAGGUUGCCGCCGAUGGCGAGUCCAAACCAGAUGCAUCAUCAUCCGCCGCCCCCAAUGCCUAAUUUCUGUGGAAAUGGUUUUGGCCCGUGGAACCACGGUGCGCAUCCAAAGGGGGCGCCUGCGUUGAAGCCACAGACCACGGUAGCGUAGGCUUGCAUGGGGGCGGCGGCCAUGGCGGGGAGGCGGCGUUGCGCUCGAGCGCUACAUCAGGCGGCGGCAGCGAGGCGGGAGGCGCGUGCGGAGAAUGCAUCAAAUGUUUGAUGAAUUGCUUGAAGAAAAUGCAUCGGGUCCUUUCUUGCAUGCUUCAAGUCUUC
Triticum dicoccoides is the source of this 1115-nucleotide long non-coding RNA. RefSeq lists it as uncharacterized. The transcript has 3 exons. The record is from RefSeq and is a predicted model, not a curated record. NCBI's taxonomy places the organism in Eukaryota, Viridiplantae, Streptophyta, Magnoliopsida, Poales, Poaceae.